GACAGAGGUGGCAAGCGUUGUUCGGAAUUACUGGGCGUAAAGGGUGUGUAGGCGGUUGGGUAAGUCAGAGGUGAAAGCCCAUAGCUUAACUAUGGAAGUGCCUUUGAUACUGCCUGACUUGAGUGCAGGAGAGGAGGGUGGAAUUCCCGGUGUAGAGGUGAAAUUCGUAGAUAUCGGGGGGAACACCAGCGGCGAAGGCGGCCCUCUGGACUGCAACUGACGCUGAAACACGAAAGCGUGGGGAG
This 245-nucleotide ribosomal RNA is filed under the name uncultured Pseudomonadota bacterium. Its description in RNAcentral is "uncultured proteobacterium partial 16S ribosomal RNA". It matches the Rfam family "Bacterial small subunit ribosomal RNA", at positions 524 to 768 of the family's 1533-position model. Lineage: Bacteria; Pseudomonadati; Pseudomonadota. The record is from RNAcentral.